UUCAACAGAUAUUUGCAAGAGUUGAUGCCCUAAAAGAACAAAUAUAAAUCGCCACUAGAUUUCACUUGAAGACUUAACUAUGAAGACUCUACUUACAUGACCUAAUUUAUAAAUAGUUUCUGUGCAAUACUUCUGACCAAGAGAGGCAGUCACUAUGGAAUAUUGAGGUUGGAAAAUAAAAGGAGUGAAGACUGAGAAAUGAGUGAAUUGAUAUUCAAAAAAUGUAGGUGCCUCUUUGACUUAUGAUAUUUUCAACUUGUGAGUUUAUCAGAUAUAG
Myotis myotis is the source of this 277-nucleotide long non-coding RNA. RefSeq lists it as uncharacterized. The record is from RefSeq and is a predicted model, not a curated record. Lineage: Eukaryota; Metazoa; Chordata; Mammalia; Chiroptera; Vespertilionidae. The transcript has 3 exons.